RNAcentral lists this ribosomal RNA (488 nucleotides) under uncultured bacterium. RNAcentral's name for it is "bacterial SSU rRNA". It matches the Rfam family "Bacterial small subunit ribosomal RNA", at positions 28 to 516 of the family's 1533-position model. The record is from RNAcentral.
GAUGAACGCUAGCGGCAGGCCUAACACAUGCAAGUCGAGGGGUAGUUACUUUCGGGUAAUGAGACCGGCGCACGGGUGCGUAACGCGUAUGCAAUCCACCUUUUACAGGGGAAUAGCCCAGAGAAAUUUGGAUUAAUGCCCCCAUAGUAUGUAUGAAUCGCAUGGUUUAUACAUUAAAGUUCCAACGGUAAAAGAUGAGCAUGCGUCCCAUUAGUUAGUUGGUAAGGUAACGGCUUACCAAGACGAUGAUGGGUAGGGGUCCUGAGAGGGAGAUCCCCCCACACUGGUACUGAGACACGGACCAGACUCCUACGGGAGGCAGCAGUGAGGAAUAUUGGACAAUGGGGCGCAAGCCUGAUCCAGCCAUGCCGCGUGCAGGAAGAAGCAUCUAUGGUGUGUAAACUGCUUUUGUACGGGAANAAACACUCCUACGUGUAGGAGCUUGACGGUACGUAAGAUAAGGAUCGGCUAACUCCGUGCCAGCAGCC